This 497-nucleotide ribosomal RNA is filed under the name uncultured bacterium. RNAcentral describes it as "partial 16S ribosomal RNA". It matches the Rfam family "Bacterial small subunit ribosomal RNA", at positions 28 to 507 of the family's 1533-position model. The record is from RNAcentral.
GAUGAACGCUGGCGGCGUGCCUAAUACAUGCAAGUCGAGCGAACGGACGAGAAGCUUGCUUCUCUGAUGUUAGCGGCGGACGGGUGAGUAACACGUGGAAAACCUACCUAUCAGACUGGGAUAACUUCGGGAAACCGGAGCUAAUACCGGAUAAUAUUUUGAACCGCAUGGUUCAAAAGUGAAAGACGGUCUUGCUGUCACUUAUAGAUGGAUACGCGCUGUAUUAGCUGGUUGGUAAGGUAACGGCUUACCAAGGCUACGAUGCAUAGCCGACCUGAGAGGGUGAUCGGCCACACGGGAACUGAGACACGGUCCAGACUCCUACGGGAGGCAGCAGUAUGGAAUCUUCCGCAAUGGGCGAAAGCCUUACGGAGCGACGCCGCGUGAGUUAUGAAGGUCUUCGGAUCGUAAAACUCUGUUAUUAGGGAAGAACAUAUGUGUAAGUAACUGUGCACAUCUUGACGGUACCUAAUCAGAAAGCCACGGCUAACUACGUG